RNAcentral lists this ribosomal RNA (373 nucleotides) under uncultured organism. RNAcentral's name for it is "partial 16S ribosomal RNA". It matches the Rfam family "Bacterial small subunit ribosomal RNA", at positions 527 to 896 of the family's 1533-position model. The record is from RNAcentral.
GUAGGUGGCAAGCGUUGUCCGGAAUUAUUGGGCGUAAAGCGCGCGCAGGCGGUCCUUUAAGUCUGAUGUGAAAGCCCACGGCUCAACCGUGGAGGGUCAUUGGAAACUGGGGGACUUGAGUACGGAAGAGGAAAGCGGAAUUCCAAGUGUAGCGGUGAAAUGCGUAGAGAUUUGGAGGAACACCAGUGGCGAAGGCGGCUUUCUGGUCUGUAACUGACGCUGAGGCGCGAAAGCGUGGGGAGCAAACAGGAUUAGAUACCCUGGUAGUCCACGCCGUAAACGAUGAGUGCUAAGUGUUAGGGGGUUUCCCGCCCCCUUAGUGCUGCAGCUAACGCAUUAAGCACUCCGCCUGGGGAGUACGGCCGCAAGGCUG